AUUGAACGCUGGCGGCAGGCCUAACACAUGCAAGUCGAGCGGAUGAAGGGAGCUGGCUCCUGGAUUCAGCGGCGGACGGGUGAGUAAUGCCUAGGAAUCUGCCUGGUAGUGGGGGAUAACGUCCGGAAACGGGCGCUAAUACCGCAUACGUCCUGAGGCAGAAAGUGGGGGAUCUUCGGACCUCACGCUAUCAGAUGAGCCUAGGUCGGAUUAGCUAGUUGGUGGGGUAAAGGCCUACCAAGGCGACGAUCCGUAACUGGUCUGAGAGGAUGAUCAGUCACACUGGAACUGAGACACGGUCCAGACUCCUACGGGAGGCAGCAGUGGGGAAUAUUGGACAAUGGGCGAAAGCCUGAUCCAGCCAUGCCGCGUGUGUGAAGAAGGUCUUCGGAUUGUAAAGCACUUUAAGUUGGGAGGAAGGGCAGUAAGUUAAUACCUUGCUGUUUUGACGUUACCAACAGAAUAAGCACCGGCUAACUUCGUG
RNAcentral lists this ribosomal RNA (484 nucleotides) under uncultured bacterium. RNAcentral's name for it is "partial 16S ribosomal RNA". It matches the Rfam family "Bacterial small subunit ribosomal RNA", at positions 30 to 507 of the family's 1533-position model. The record is from RNAcentral.